GCCCUGGUAGCGCAAUGGUUAAGCACUCAGCUGCUAACUGAAAGGUUGGCAGUUUGAACCUACCCCAUGGCU
RNAcentral lists this transfer RNA (72 nucleotides) under Loxodonta africana (African savanna elephant). It matches the Rfam family "tRNA". From Rfam's summary of the family: Transfer RNA (tRNA) molecules are approximately 80 nucleotides in length. Lineage: Eukaryota; Metazoa; Chordata; Mammalia; Proboscidea; Elephantidae. The record is from Rfam by way of RNAcentral.